AUUGAACGCUGGCGGCAGGCUUAACACAUGCAAGUCGAGCGGUAACAGAGAGAAGCUUGCUUCUCUGCUGACGAGCGGCGGACGGGUGAGCAAUGCCUAGGAAUCUGCCUAGUAGUGGGGGAUAACUUGCCGAAAGGUAAGCUAAUACCGCAUACGUCCUACGGGAGAAAGGAGGGGACCUUCGGGCCUUUCGCUAUUAGAUGAGCCUAGGUCGGAUUAGUUAGUUGGUGAGGUAAUGGCUCACCAAGACCGCGAUCCGUAACUGGUCUGAGAGGAUGAUCAGUCACACUGGGACUGCGACACGGUCCAGACUCCUACGGGAGGCAGCAGUGGGGAAGAUUGGACAAUGGGGGGAACCCUGAUCCAGCCAUGCCGGGUGGGUGAAGAAGGUCUUAGGAUUGUAAAGCACUUUAAGUUGGGAGGAAGAGCAGUUAACUAAUAUUUGACGGUUUUGACGUUACCGACAGAAUAAGCACCGGCUAACUUCGUGCCAGCCGCCGCCGUAA
Molecule: ribosomal RNA, 506 nt
Filed under: uncultured bacterium
Lineage: Bacteria
Description: partial 16S ribosomal RNA
Rfam family: Bacterial small subunit ribosomal RNA
Source: RNAcentral